Molecule: long non-coding RNA, 4780 nt
Filed under: Equus caballus (horse)
Lineage: Eukaryota; Metazoa; Chordata; Mammalia; Perissodactyla; Equidae
Description: lncRNA (ENSECAG00000053450.1)
Source: RNAcentral
GUAACAACCCCCACAUUUCAAUGACUUGACAUCAUAAAGGAGAAUUCCAUGCACAAUGUGAGUUGGAGGUUGACUCUCUCUCCUCUCGGCCAUCAGAGUCCUCUCUGUUCAGCCAGCAGCAUGUGUGGGAAGAGGGUCACAGUGGGCUGGGGAGGUUCUUAUGGGCCAGGUCUGGAAGGACACACAUCAGUUCCACUCACAUCGUUGGCCGAAACUCAAUCAUAUGACCACAUCUAACUGCCAGGGAAGGUGGUCUAACCGUGUCCUCAGAAAGAAGAGACGAACAUGGAUACCGAUGAGCAUUGCAAUCUCUGACAACGCUGAGUCUACACUGUGAAAACAAGAAACAGCAAUGGCGACCAGACCACCAACAGUGAUGAAAAGGUCUCACCUGUCAUAUCCGGACCUGAGCAAUAAUCUCUAGUUGACUGCACUCUGCUGCUCCAGGAAAACACCCGUAUUUGCAUGAGGCUGAGCCCAGGAGUUCUAUAGCGCAGAGAGAUGGAAGGGAAGACGUCUAAGCAGUGGAGACUCUGCCUUCUAGGCCUGUUGUGUCUGGGGCAGACUGAGAGCCAUCUUGCUGCUCCACGAAGCACACUCUGUUUCACAAGCAUGGCGAAGGCAGCGAGCAGAUGAACCAAGCAGGUGGUCUCCGAUGCACUCACCUCCUCUGCUCACCAAGGGCUCUCUGAGUCUCCACUCCCGCAUUAAGGAGAAACUGUCCUUGCCUUGUAUGUACUGUGUGUUCCCAGACAGGCACGUGCAUUCAUUUAUUCAUGAAUCAUUUGUGAUGUGUCAAGCUCACGCCAUAUGCCAGGCACAUGCUAGACCCUUCAGAGACAACAAGAGCAGCAAAGCACAGGGUCGACUGCUGUAGGUGACACCCUAAAGGUACAUCCGCAGAGCUAAAAUUAGGUUAUGUAUGUUUAUUGCAUCCACGUAUAUAGGUCUUGAAGAUAGAUUUAAAGACUUAGAUUCACACAAAAAUUAUUGCCAGCCAAAUAAAUUUUUACAGCUCAUCCCAUGUUUUCUACUCACAAAGAUAUCACUGUAAGCAACUUGGAAGGAUUUAGAAACCCAGCUUGGUGCCCCAGUUUUACUAUUUAUCAUUUACCAAGUGACCUUGAGCAAAUUCUCCAGUCUCCCUAUCAUCAAUUGCUCUUCCCUUAGGCAAGCAUGACAGUACCUGUCUCAUAGCUUGUCAGAAGGACUAGGAUGAGGCAUGAGUGUGGAGUGGCUAAAAAGCAAGUUAUUUCAGCUUUCUGUGCCUCACUGUCUUUGCUUGUAAAAGUAGGAUAAUAGAACCCAUGUCAUGCAAUUUCUGUGAAAAUUAAAUGAGAUAAUGACACAUUCAAUACUCAACACAUUUUAGUUAUUUUAUGAAAGUGUCAUAUCAACUACAACAUGCUAGAUAAAAGUUAAAAAGCAUUAACUGUUAAAGUUAAGCUCGGUCAGAAGAAGAGUAUUGGGACUAGAAUCAUUCCAACAUGCUACGUAUCCAGGGGAUUGGUACCUUUCAAUCAAACUCUUGGGCUCAGCGCUGUUUUGGACGUUGAAAUAGACGGCUCUGCUUUGGCCGUAAUGUCAUCUACCUCUCCAGCUAAAUGUACAUCCUUUUUCCGGGCCCUCUCCUCUGGUCUUCUCUUUCUUUUUAGAUCAGUUCUCAAAACGUAAUUCCUUUAAGGACCAGUUCUGAGUGUUUAUGCUGGUCCUGUGUGUAUACAGAAAAGGAAGACGAAAUGACGCCACUCUUUUCCAUCGUAGUCUGUGUUUAUUCUUCCUCUUCUUUAAAGCAAUAAGGAUGAUUUUUUCCCAUCUUUGAAAUGUCACGUCCUCAAAGUAAGUUUGGGCAGCAUCAAAACAAUUUAUAAAUUAAAGGAUUAUCAGAGUAGAGGGGACAUAAUUACCUACCGGAAUUUGACAUCACAAAAAGAAGACUCCAGAUAGUUUUCUUUGGGGUUGAAUCAUCACUAUUUAUGGGCUGAAGAAUUCCUGCUUCAAAGAUCAUUGGAAACUGAGUGUUAGGCUGUCUCUAGACCUGUUUGUUUUUUUAUUUCAGUUCAUGUAAAAAAUUCAUUGGCUACGUUAUUUUAUACUCUUCAUUCAAAUGACCCUUUUCAAAACAACCCAGUUUUUUAUUAGAAUUCAUUCAGUUUCUGUGUAUGUAACAGUUUAUAUGUGGAGACAAAACUCAACUUCUCAUUUGGUGGAAGAAAAUGAGCAUGACUAAAAUAUUAACAUUCCUCAAAUCCAGACUUGUUCAGGCAACAGUAAGCAAGUAUGCGAAGGAGCGUAGGCAUUUAGCUUAAAUCUGCACAAAGAGAAUGACUACCAUGCUUUUAAAUGAUUGGUCCUAUGAUUUUUGAGAUACAAAAAAAAAAAAGAGAGAAGAAGAAGAAUCUUGUUGCCAAGUAUGGAAAGAUGCAAAGGUGAGUCAGGUGAGAAUUCCAGCGGCGGUAAUCCUAACAUGCGCUUCUGUGCCUGUUGCAUAUUAGGAGACGAGUACCUCGGUUUUCACAUUUUUUAGUGAAAAGUGCUGUUCUGACUUAGCUGCCUUGGAAACACCCGCCUCUGCGGUGUAAUAUUGAUGAACGCGAGUCGGGAGCGGCUAGCACUGCGCCUCUCUCUGUGAAUAAUAGGGCACACAUGAAUGAUUAAAACAAGGCAACCAGAAACUCAUCUUGCCAGUGGUCCCUGGGAUCAAAUUCAUUUAUUAGCUCUCCAAGGUCACUGACCUCGAUUACCCGGAGCCCAGCUACUAAAUUGAUUAAUUGAUCCAUUCUCUCAUUUCACUCAUUUAAUUUGAAGGGAAAAUAAAAUGAAAAUAUUCUGGAUGAAUUGACUUGUAAGCCAUUGUAUUCUGCUUGCUGCAUCCUCUGAAACACGUGCUAAUGGUAAGCAGAGCAUCAGCCCUUGUGUCAUCACAAAGAAAACCGUGAACAUAGAGACCGCGGCUUCUCUCGCACAUCUUCCUUGCACUCAACAACUGUGCUCCCAAGUUUAACCCUCGCUGUACAAUUCUCCACACGACUCUAAUUUCGAAAGUUGUACAGGCUUAUGAAUUGAAAGAAUAUACGGAGAUACGGAAAUCUAGUUGGAUCUCUGUAGAGGAAACAUUUAAGGAAUUUUUUUAAAUGUGUUUCUUUUGUGGUCAUCAAUGGAGAAUCCUAAUGCUGAUUCUCUCAAAACUUCAAGGCAAAAGUUGUCCACUAGAAGUUUCCUGCAAAUGAUAUUACCUUCUUCACGGAAUGCUUCUUGAGGUCAGCUCCAGCGUGCCUCUGAUCUUAUACUGGAGUGCAACAGUUCUACGCCAGAGACUCAGACUUCGAGAACACGAUGACAAUACAGACUUAAACUGUGUCUCAGCUCAUAAGAUUACUAAGAUCUUCAAAGAGCUCAUAAACGUGACUUCGUUAAAUUUUACAUGAAGUAAUGUCAGUAACUUAAUUCUCCCAAGCCCCACCCCACCAACCCCCACCCUGGGGAAAUGUCCCCUAGCAGGAAGGACACAUCUUUAGACAUCUUCCUUUCCACUCAGGGAUUUGUGUGGUAACCAGCCCUCUUUAGAACUGGGUGAUUUUAAUGAAAAAGCUCUAACGUCAAAGCUUCUGCCAUUUUUCUGCGGGACAAGAGUGGAGUCCUAGAGGAGAACGUCCUUUUGCUCUCGUGUCCUGCUGAGCACUUUCAUGAGAUAUUGGUAAUGCGAAGAUAAGCCUGGAAUUGUGUGGGGGGUAAAGGUGAAAAAUCUGCACUGAUCCACAAAGCGAUGGGAUGAGGAUGGUGUGGGUUGCAGCCCGGGAGACGCACGGGGAAGGUGAGCCUGGAGGACAGGCACCGAGGAGGCCCAGGCUGCAGUUGACCUAAUUUUUGUAAAUAAAUAAAACAGGUGCCCUUCACUUUAGUCAAACAUUACACGCAAAGGGAUUUGCAAAAUCAAUUCUCUUCUUGAUGUUUGGGGCACUCCUGUUUCAUGGUAAAAACUUGCAGUGUGAAUUAUCACCCCACAUAUAUAUGUUUUUAUUAUACUGUGUUUUAUUUUAGGUUUUCUUCAAGUGAGGAACCCCCAUACACAUUCUUUUUCAGGUUAUAAAUUUACGUAGGAUCCAGUAAAUGUUAACUUCCGUUGUCCUGGGAGAACAUAAAACCAGAUACUAUUUGUAGCAUUAAAAACAGUAGUUUGUACUGUACGUCAGAGUCUGUGCAUGAUAAAGACUUCCGCACGAAAGGUGGCGGAUUUCUAUCUCGAUACCGGUAGUCAGCUACAAAGUUCUGCAAUCUAGUUCCUUUUGUAAAGUUUCUCAUUUCUAUUAUUAGAAAAUUGUAUCGCAAAUAGGAACAGUGACUAAAUAUGUUUGAAGUCUCUUCUUCUAUUAGUUUGAAUAGUGACUCAGUGAAGCAUUCCUACAGACUUUUCACACUUGUUCAUAAACUUUAUUUAGUUUCCAAACUGAAUUUUGACUACACUGGAAAGUUGUUAUGUUAUUGUUAAUAAUUGAGCUACAGAACAAAAUUAUUUCACUCAGAUAACAGAGUUUUAAAAGCUUCUUCUAACCACUUGAUUCAACUGGUAUUGAUUGGCUCAAAGGUGCAUCCUAAAAUUAUUUUUAAAGAUUGCAUCAUUUGUCAAACUCUCUGUAUUACCUAGGGCACUAAGUGAUGAGAGUUAAUCCUCCUAGGUUUUAUCUUUGUAAAAUGAAAUCGAAUUUAUUUCCAUUUUUCUCAGUGAAAUUGAAGUGAGAUGUACAAAUCAAAGAAAAAGAUGGUACAUGUGUCCCAAACA